Molecule: small nuclear RNA, 166 nt
Organism: Rhinolophus ferrumequinum (greater horseshoe bat)
Lineage: Eukaryota; Metazoa; Chordata; Mammalia; Chiroptera; Rhinolophidae
Gene: U1
Rfam family: U1 spliceosomal RNA
About the family: U1 is a small nuclear RNA (snRNA) component of the spliceosome (involved in pre-mRNA splicing). Its 5' end forms complementary base pairs with the 5' splice junction, thus defining the 5' donor site of an intron.
Source: Ensembl
AUACUUAAACCUGACAGGGGAGACACCAUGAGCAUGAAGGUGGUUUUCCCAGGGCGAGGCUUAGCCAUUGCACCCUGGAUGUGCUGACCCCUGCGAUUUCUCCAAAUGUGGGAAACUCGACUGCAUGAUUUGCUGUAGUGGGGGACUGCGUUCGCGCUCUCCCCUA